GACGAACGCUGGCGGCGUGCUUAACACAUGCAAGUCGAACGGAAAGGCCCUGCUUUGUGGGGUGCUCGAGUGGCGAACGGGUGAGUAACACGUGAGUAACCUGCCCUUGACUUUGGGAUAACUUAAGGAAACUGGGGCUAAUACCGGAUAGGCGCUCCUGCUGCAUGGUGGGGGUUGGAAAGUUUCGGCGGUUGGGGAUGGACUCGCGGCUUAUCAGCUUGUUGGUGGGGUAGUGGCUUACCAAGGCUUUGACGGGUAGCCGGCCUGAGAGGGUGACCGGCCACAUUGGGACUGAGAUACGGCCCAGACUCCUACGGGAGGCAGCAGUGGGGAAUAUUGCACAAUGGGCGGAAGCCUGAUGCAGCAACGCCGCGUGCGGGAUGACGGCCUUCGGGUUGUAAACCGCUUUCGCCUGUGACGAAGCGUGAGUGACGGUGAUGGGUAAAGAAGCACCGGCUAACUACGUG
This 467-nucleotide ribosomal RNA is filed under the name uncultured bacterium. Its description in RNAcentral is "partial 16S ribosomal RNA". It matches the Rfam family "Bacterial small subunit ribosomal RNA", at positions 28 to 507 of the family's 1533-position model. The record is from RNAcentral.